UUGGGCUAUGGAGAUAUGUAUCCAGAGACCUGGUCAGGCAUGGUGGUGGGAGCGUUGUGCGCUUUAGCCGGUGUGCUGACGAUAGCCAUGCCUGUGCCCGUUAUCGUCAAUAAC
Poecilia formosa (Amazon molly) is the source of this 114-nucleotide non-coding RNA. The record is from Rfam. Lineage: Eukaryota; Metazoa; Chordata; Actinopteri; Cyprinodontiformes; Poeciliidae.